This is a non-coding RNA of Podarcis muralis (Common wall lizard), 448 nucleotides long. The record is from RefSeq and is a predicted model, not a curated record. Lineage: Eukaryota; Metazoa; Chordata; Lepidosauria; Squamata; Lacertidae.
GGCACUUGGAGGAUCUGCUGGAAGGAGGAGCGGCAUUGUUUGGCUUGAGCGUGAUGCAGCUCAGGCAGGCAGCUUGCCAACAUCUGUAGCCUAAACAGAGCAGAGCAAGUUGCAAGCAGCGAACAGAGAAGGGAACAGAGGAGCAUUCUGCUCAUGGCUUCCGAAGCAAAGCAAAACUGCAAGUGGAAAGCUGAUCCAGCUACUGUGCCACGUUGAUGGAGGUUCUCCCUAUGAUCUGAAUUAUUUCAUAGAGAAGAAAAACAAGCUGCACAGGGCAGAAUGGUAUUGAAUGUUAUAAUAUGGAGCCCCAUCAAUGGAUUAAUAUUGGGCAUUUGCACCAACUGUACAGUAUACCUGACUACCUAGAAGGCCUCGCCCAGCCCUCCUAGAAGACUCAUACAUCAAUAUUUUAAUUGCAUGGUAUAUAGCUCUUCGAAGAAGAGCAUAA